This 494-nucleotide ribosomal RNA is filed under the name uncultured soil bacterium. Its description in RNAcentral is "bacterial SSU rRNA". It matches the Rfam family "Bacterial small subunit ribosomal RNA", at positions 26 to 517 of the family's 1533-position model. The record is from RNAcentral.
AGAAUGAACGCUGGCGGCGUGCUUUACACAUGCAAGUUGAGCGAGGCCACCCGCAAGGGUGAGUCGAGCGGCGAACGGGUGAGUAACGCGUGGAUAACCUGCCCUGAAGUGGGGGAAUAACCCGGGGGAAACUCGGGCUAAUACCGCAUGAUACCGAGAGGUCAAAGAGGGCUCGCAAGAGCUCUUGCUACAGGAGGGGUCCGCGUUCGAUUAGCUAGUUGGUAGGGUAAUGGCCUACCAAGGCGACGAUCGAUAGCCGGCCUGAGAGGGUGAUCGGCCACACUGGAACUGAGACACGGUCCAGACUCCUACGGGAGGCAGCAGUGGGAAUUUGCGCAAUGGGCUAACGCCUGACGCAGCAACGCCGCGUGGAGGAUGAAGGUCUUUGGAUUGUAAACUCCUGUCAGUCGAAGGGAAAAAGGGAGGGGACCUAAGUACGCUCCGUGACUUGAUUGACCUGCAGAGACGCCCGAUAACUCGUGUGCCAGCAGCCG